RNAcentral lists this ribosomal RNA (552 nucleotides) under uncultured bacterium. RNAcentral describes it as "bacterial SSU rRNA". It matches the Rfam family "Bacterial small subunit ribosomal RNA", at positions 121 to 685 of the family's 1533-position model. The record is from RNAcentral.
GAAACCUGCCCCGGAGACCGGAAUAGACCAGGGAAACCUGGAUUAAUACCGGAUACCCUCCGACGAUCGCAUGAUCGACGGAGGAAAUGGUCCGCCGCUCCGGGAUGGUCUCGCGGCCUAUCAGUUAGUUGGUGAGGUAACGGCUCACCAAGACUACGACGGGUAGCUGGUCUGAGAGGACGAUCAGCCACACUGGGACUGAGACACGGCCCAGACUCCUACGGGAGGCAGCAGCAGGGAAUUUUGCACAAUGGGCGCAAGCCUGAUGCAGCGACGCCGCGUGGGGGAUGAAUGCCUUCGGGUUGUAAACCCCUUUCAGGAGGGACGAAGCGAAAGUGACGGUACCUCCAGAAGAAGCCCCGGCCAACUACGUGCCAGCAGCCGCGGUAAUACGUAGGGGGCGAGCGUUGUCCGGAUUUAUUGGGCGUAAAGAGCUCGUAGGCGGCUCAGCAAGUCGGCCGUGAAAGCCUGAGGCUCAACCUCAGGACGCCGGUCGAAACUGCUGUAGCUAGGGUUCGGUAGAGGAGAGUGGAAUUCCGGUGUAGCGGUGAA